GGGAUGGACAUACCUCUGGUGUACCAGUUGUCGUGCGAACGGCAUAGCUGGGUAGCUAUGUAUGGACGGGAUAAGUGCUGAAAGCAUCUAAGCAUGAAGCCCCCCUCAAGAUGAGAUUUCCCAACUUCGGUUAUAAGAUCCCUCAGAGAUGAUGAGGUUAAUAGGUUCGAGGUGGAAGCGUGGUGACACGUGGAGUUGACGAAUACUAAUCGAUCGAAGACUUAAUCAA
This 229-nucleotide ribosomal RNA is filed under the name Rhodanobacter denitrificans. Its description in RNAcentral is "partial 23S ribosomal RNA". It matches the Rfam family "Bacterial large subunit ribosomal RNA", at positions 2694 to 2925 of the family's 2925-position model. Lineage: Bacteria; Pseudomonadati; Pseudomonadota; Gammaproteobacteria; Lysobacterales; Rhodanobacteraceae. The record is from RNAcentral.